Long non-coding RNA from Helianthus annuus (common sunflower), 428 nucleotides. RefSeq lists it as uncharacterized. The record is from RefSeq and is a predicted model, not a curated record. The transcript has 4 exons. Lineage: Eukaryota; Viridiplantae; Streptophyta; Magnoliopsida; Asterales; Asteraceae.
CAUUCUCCUCCUUCCCUCUCUGUCGCCACUGAUAUUCAAAGAUCUUCAAUCCAUCAAUUCGAAUCAAGAAACCCUAAAUCUAUUUCGCGAUUCCACUUUGGCGACUAAUCUCUCCGACAUUCCCUGCCACCUUUGUUUGAUCGACUUCUUCUUCAUCUCGGUAAGAUUCUGUGAAGAACUUUUGAUUUUAAUUGGAAACUGUUAUCUGUUAUGGAGUAUUUGACGGCGAAAUCGGUGAAUACGAGAGGUUGAUUGGAAAGCGAUGUCGGAACCAGCGUCGGAUUAUAGGUUCAGUGACGGCGAUAUGACAAUGUUUUAUAGAUCUGUAUCGUUGAGUGGAUUUUGGUCGAAGCAUCGCGAUGACGUUGGCUGCAAUUAACUCCAGAAGGGUAGUGAUUAGUGAAUGAACAGCUUAGUUAAAGGUAUUU